This 460-nucleotide ribosomal RNA is filed under the name uncultured bacterium. RNAcentral's name for it is "bacterial SSU rRNA". It matches the Rfam family "Bacterial small subunit ribosomal RNA", at positions 791 to 1256 of the family's 1533-position model. The record is from RNAcentral.
UAGUCCACGCCCUAAACGAUGCUAACUCGAUAUUUGGGCUUUAAGUCUGAGUGUCUAAGGGAAACCAAUAAGUUAGCCACCUGGGGAGUACGUUCGCAAGAAUGAAACUCAAAGGAAUUGACGGGGUCCGCACAAGCGGUGGAGCAUGUGGUUUAAUUCGAUGAUACGCGAGGAACCUUACCUAGGCUACAAUGUGAUCGCAAUCUGGUGAAAGCCGGAGUUCCUUCGGGACGAGAAACAAGGUGCUGCAUGGUUGUCGUCAGCUCGUGCCGUGAGGUGUUGGGUUAAGUCCCGCAACGAGCGCAACCCUUGUCUUUAGUUGCCAUCAUUAAGUUGGGUACUUUAAAGGGACUGCCGGUGACAAACCGGAGGAAGGUAAGGAUGACGUCAAGUCAGCAUGCCCCUUAUGUUCUGGGGCUACACACGUGCUACAAUGGUCGUGACAAAGAGUCGCAAGCUU